This 468-nucleotide ribosomal RNA is filed under the name uncultured bacterium. RNAcentral describes it as "partial 16S ribosomal RNA". It matches the Rfam family "Bacterial small subunit ribosomal RNA", at positions 28 to 523 of the family's 1533-position model. The record is from RNAcentral.
GAUGAACGCUGGCGGCGUGCCUAACACAUGCAAGUCGAGCGAUUCUCUUCGGAGAAGAGCGGCGGACGGGUGAGUAACGCGUGGGUAACCUGCCCUGUACACACGGAUAACAUACCGAAAGGUAUGCUAAUACGAGAUAAUAUGCUUUUAUCGCGUGGUAGAAGUAUCAAAGCUCCGGCGGUACAGGAUGGACCCGCGUCUGAUUAGCUAGUUGGUAAGGUAACGGCUUACCAAGGCGACGAUCAGUAGCCGACCUGGGAGGGUGAUCGGCCACAUUGGAACUGAGACACGGUCCAAACGCCUACGGGAGGCAGCAGUGGGGAAUAUUGCACAAUGGGCGAAAGCCUGAUGCAGCAACGCCGCGUGAGCGAUGAAGGCCUUCGGGUCGUAAAGCUCUGUCCUCAAGGAAGAUAAUGACGGUACUUGAGGAGGAAGCCCCGGCUAACUACGUGCCAGCCGCCGCGGUAA